RNAcentral lists this ribosomal RNA (500 nucleotides) under uncultured bacterium. RNAcentral's name for it is "partial 16S ribosomal RNA". It matches the Rfam family "Bacterial small subunit ribosomal RNA", at positions 30 to 523 of the family's 1533-position model. The record is from RNAcentral.
AUUGAACGCUGGCGGAAUGCUUUACACAUGCAAGUCGAACGGCAGCACGGACUUCGGUCUGGUGGCGAGUGGCGAACGGGUGAGUAAUGUAUCGGAACGUGCCCAGUCGUGGGGGAUAACGUAGUGAAAAUUACGCUAAUACCGCAUACGAUCUAUGGAUGGAAGCGGGGGAUCGCAAGACCUUGCGCGAUUGGAGCGGCCGAUAUCAGAUUAGGUAGUUGGUGGGGUAAAGGCCCACCAAGCCAACGAUCUGUAGCUGGUCUGAGAGGACGACCAGACACACUGGAACUGAGACACGGUCCAGACUCCUACGGGAGGCAGCAGUGGGGAAUUUUGGACAAUGGGCGAAAGCCUGAUCCAGCCAUUCCGCGUGCAGGAUGAAGGCCCUCGGGUUGUAAACUGCUUUUAUACAGAACGAAAAGGUUUCUACUAAUACUAGGAGCUCAUGACGGUACUGUAAGAAUAAGCACCGGCUAACUACGUGCCAGCAGCCGCCGUAA